This 555-nucleotide ribosomal RNA is filed under the name uncultured Glomus. Its description in RNAcentral is "SSU rRNA". It matches the Rfam family "Eukaryotic small subunit ribosomal RNA", at positions 548 to 1103 of the family's 1831-position model. The record is from RNAcentral. Lineage: Eukaryota; Fungi; Glomeromycota; Glomeromycetes; Glomerales; Glomeraceae.
UUGGAGGGCAAGUCUGGUGCCAGCAGCCGCGGUAAUUCCAGCUCCAAUAGCGUAUAUUAAAGUUGUUGCAGUUAAAAAGCUCGUAGUUGAAUUUCGGGAUCAAUGUUUCGGUCAUGCCGUUGGUAUGUACUGAUAUUAUUGAUUUCUCACCUUCUAAAGAACCGUAAUGCCAUUAAUUUGGUGUCACGGGGAAUUAGGACUGUUACCUUGAAAAAAUUAGAGUGUUUAAAGCAGGCUUACGCUUGAAUACAUUAGCAUGGAAUAAUGAAAUAGGACAUCCGAUUCUAUUUUGUUGGUUUCUAGGAUCGAUGUAAUGAUUAAUAGGGAUAGUUGGGGGCAUUAGUAUUCAAUUGUCAGAGGUGAAAUUCUUGGAUUCAUUGAAGACUAACUACUGCGAAAGCAUUUGCCAAGGAUGUUUUCAUUAAUCAAGAACGAAAGUUAGGGGAUCGAAGACGAUCAGAUACCGUCGUAGUCUUAACCAUAAACUAUGCCGACUAGGGAUCGGAUGAUGUUAAUUUUUUAAUGACUCAUUCGGCACCUUACGGGAAACCAAAG